Long non-coding RNA from Mizuhopecten yessoensis (Yesso scallop), 1058 nucleotides. RefSeq lists it as uncharacterized. NCBI's taxonomy places the organism in Eukaryota, Metazoa, Mollusca, Bivalvia, Pectinida, Pectinidae. The record is from RefSeq and is a predicted model, not a curated record. The transcript is spliced from 3 exons.
ACGACAUUCAACUUCCGUACUGUUUACACACGCACCCAACACAUGUGUGUAUAGUGAGUGUACUUUCGGCUUGAUGUAUAAUGAUAACAGUGCAUGCUGGGAUUGCUACAAGAUACCAGACCCACCCACACGUCAGUACACCACAAGGAAGUCGAUACUCCGAUUUCUCCUACUACAGCAAAGAAACAUUUUCAUGACAACACGAAGACUGACGACCAGGCAAUACAACACCAGGUGAAGAAAAACCUUCGUACAAAUGUUUAUUAUGCUGUCGACAAUGUAACGCCCCCAGACAACUGUCGUCGUGUUUUCAUAUAUUUUGUACGGACUGUCUGGACACUUACGUCCGGUCAGACCAUGUAAUUACAGACAACAGGACAUACGUACCAUGCCCUGUGUGUGACGAACCGUGCUCGACUCCCGAUCCCAAGACUCCAGUCAGUUAUUGGGCUUCCUCGUUUCCGCUUCACCCGUUGUUCCAAACCCCAAAUUAUAUUGAGACAGGAACCGGGGAGACAUUUUGCGAAGGGUGUCUGAGAGAUGAUGAAAAAAACCACAGCUGAAUUCUGGUGUGAUGUUUGUAUUGAAGACAUGUGUAAGCAACGCAGGGUGAUGCACAGAAAAAUAAAAUCCUUUCCAAACAUACAGUGAUUGAAAUAAGUGCCAUUAAGAAAGUUGGAUCAGACAAACCUGAACAAAUUCCCACUGCGUGUCCCAAGCACCCGGGAAAGGAAUUGGACACUUACUGCCUCGACCACAAUGUACUCUGUUGUAUGAUGUGUGUGACAUUGGCACACAGAGCUUGUCCGAACUUGAAUCUUCUCGAUGACGUGGCAAAUGGUCCAAUGGUCGAUAGAGGUUUGGUCGAGAGUGAGUUAAACAAGGUGAAACAGGAAACAAAAAUCAUCGUUGAUGAGGACAACCUCUCAUUGAUUGCGCUCGACUCUGAACAUCAGACGAUGACUAAUCGCAUGACCGCAAUAAUAAAGAAAGCAAAAAAUAAACUCGAUUUUCUGCACGGUCGUUUCCAAAGCAGCCUUGAUGACACCUACAACCGU